AAGCUUACAUCUUCAAGAAAAUGUAGAAAAGAUUUUGCAAAAGGAACUCUCCUGUGGCAAUUGUGAAAACCAAGUUAAAUCAUUGACAAAAUACUGUAUAUUAUGGCGAAGCAGAUAUUACGUUUGGCCGCGAAUGGAGGUUGGUGCCAAGUAUGUGCUCAAUAUUCCUCUACCAAAGC
Long non-coding RNA from Xenia sp. Carnegie-2017, 179 nucleotides. RefSeq lists it as uncharacterized. The record is from RefSeq and is a predicted model, not a curated record. NCBI's taxonomy places the organism in Eukaryota, Metazoa, Cnidaria, Anthozoa, Malacalcyonacea, Xeniidae. The transcript has 3 exons.